CCGGAACAGCACCACACUAAUUAAUCCUAUCUUUUUGCAGAAAAGACCCUCCCAUUUCGACUACCAUCUCAUUUCAGUCCUCUCCUCCCUCGAUCCCUUCCUUCCUUCCUCCCCCCAAUCUCCAAACCGAAAGGCGCCGCCCGCACUCGCCCCAGAUCUAUGGUUCGCGCGCCGCCCCCUCCACUCCCCCGCCGCCGCAUCGUCUCGCCGGCGC
RNAcentral lists this long non-coding RNA (214 nucleotides) under Oryza brachyantha (malo sina). RNAcentral describes it as "long non-coding RNA (OBRA_LNC000901)". The record is from RNAcentral. Lineage: Eukaryota; Viridiplantae; Streptophyta; Magnoliopsida; Poales; Poaceae.